This 468-nucleotide ribosomal RNA is filed under the name uncultured bacterium. RNAcentral describes it as "partial 16S ribosomal RNA". It matches the Rfam family "Bacterial small subunit ribosomal RNA", at positions 28 to 507 of the family's 1533-position model. The record is from RNAcentral.
GACGAACGCUGGCGGCGUGCUUAACACAUGCAAGUCGAACGGAAAGGCCCUGCUUUUGUGGGGUGCUCGAGUGGCGAACGGGUGAGUAACACGUGAGUAACCUGCCCUUGACUUUGGGAUAACUUCAGGAAACUGGGGCUAAUACCGGAUAGGAGCUCCUGCUGCAUGGUGGGGGUUGGAAAGUUUCGGCGGUUGGGGAUGGACUCGCGGCUUAUCAGCUUGUUGGUGGGGUAGGGGCUUACCAAGGCUUUGACGGGUAGCCGGCCUGAGAGGGUGACCGGCCACAUUGGGACUGAGAUACGGCCCAGACUCCUACGGGAGGCAGCAGUGGGGAAGAUUGCACAAUGGGCGGAAGCCUGAUGCAGCAACGCCGCGUGCUGGAUGACGGCCUUCGGGUUGUAAGCCGCUUUCGCCUGUGACGAAGCGUGAGUGACGGUAAUGGGUAAAUAAGCACCGGCUAACUACGUG